RNAcentral lists this ribosomal RNA (468 nucleotides) under uncultured bacterium. RNAcentral's name for it is "partial 16S ribosomal RNA". It matches the Rfam family "Bacterial small subunit ribosomal RNA", at positions 28 to 507 of the family's 1533-position model. The record is from RNAcentral.
GACGAACGCUGGCGGCGUGCUUAACACAUGCAAGUCGAACGGAGAGGCAAUACUUUUGUGUUGUGGAUGAGUGGCGAACGGGUGAGUAACACGUGAGUAACCUGCCCCUGACUUUGGGAUAACUUCUGGAAACUGCGGCUAAUACCGGAUAGGAGCUCCUGCUGCAUGGCGGCUGUCUGGAAGUUUCGGCGGUUGGGGAUGGACUCGCGGCCUAUCAGCUUGUUGGUGGGGUAGUGGCUUACCAAGGCUAUGACGGGUAGCCGGCCUGAGAGGGUGACCGGCCACACUGGGACUGAGACACGGCCCAGACUCCUACGGGAGGCAGCAGUGGGGAAUAUUGCACAAUGGGCGGAAGCCUGAUGCAGCGACGCCGCGUGAGGGAUGACGGCCUUCGGGUUGUAAACCUCUUUCGGCUGUGACGAAGCGAGAGUGACGGUAACUGGUGAAGAAGCACCGGCUAACUACGUG